GUGGUAGUAGCAGUAGUAAUAGUAGUGGUAGUCGUAGUAGUGGUAGUAGUAGCAGUAGUAAUAGUUGUAGUAGUAGCAGUAGUAAUAGUAGUGGUAGUAGCAGUAGUAGUGGUAGUAGCGGUAGCAGUAGUAAUAGUAGUGGUAGUAGUAGCAGUAGUAGUGGUAGUAGUAGCAGUAGUAGUGGUAGUAGUAGUAGGAGUAGUAGGAGUAGAAGUGGUGGUAGUAGUAGUAGUGGUAGUAGCGGUAGCAGUAGUAAUAGUAGUGGUAGUAGUAGUAGGAGUAGUAGGAGUAGUGGUGGGUGGUAGUAGUAGUAAUAGUAAUGGUAGUAGCGGUAGUAGUAGCAGUAGUAGUGUAGUAGCAGUAGUGAUAGUAAUAGUAGUGGUGGUAGUAGUAGUAGUAGUAGUAGUAUAGCAGUAGUAGUAGUGGUGGUGGUGGUAUUAGUAGCAGUAGUAGUGUAAUAGCAGUAGUAGUGGUAUUAGUAAUAGUAAUAGUAGUAGCAUAGUAGUAGCAGUAGUACUAAUAGUAGUGGUUGUAGUAGCAGUAGUAGUUGUAGUGGUGGUAGUAGCAGUAGUAGUAGUGGUGGUAUUGGUAAUAGGAAUAGUAGUGUAGUAGCAGUAGUAGUAG
Ictalurus punctatus (channel catfish) is the source of this 624-nucleotide long non-coding RNA. The record is from Ensembl. Lineage: Eukaryota; Metazoa; Chordata; Actinopteri; Siluriformes; Ictaluridae.